Molecule: ribosomal RNA, 550 nt
Filed under: Pleosporaceae sp.
Lineage: Eukaryota; Fungi; Ascomycota; Dothideomycetes; Pleosporales; Pleosporaceae
Description: SSU rRNA
Rfam family: Eukaryotic small subunit ribosomal RNA
Source: RNAcentral
UCGAUUGUUAAAAAGCUCGUAGUUGAACCUUGGGCCUGGCUGGCGGGUCCGCCUCACCGCGUGCACUCGUCCGGCCGGGCCUUCCUUCUGAAGAACCUCAUGCCCUUCACUGGGCGUGCUGGGGAAUCAGGACUUUUACUUUGAAAAAAUUAGAGUGUUCAAAGCAGGCCUUUGCUCGAAUACGUUAGCAUGGAAUAAUAAAAUAGGGCGUGCGUUUCUAUUUUGUUGGUUUCUAGAGACGCCGCAAUGAUUAACAGGAACAGUCGGGGGCAUCAGUAUUCCGUUGUCAGAGGUGAAAUUCUUGGAUUUACGGAAGACUAACUACUGCGAAAGCAUUUGCCAAGGAUGUUUUCAUUAAUCAGUGAACGAAAGUUAGGGGAUCGAAGACGAUCAGAUACCGUCGUAGUCUUAACCGUAAACUAUGCCGACUAGGGAUCGGGCGAUGUUCUUUUUCUGACUCGCUCGGCACCUUACGAGAAAUCAAAGUUUUUGGGUUCUGGGGGGAUUAUGGUCGCAAGGCUGAAACUUAAAGAAAUUGACGGAAGGUCAC